CCUACGGGAGGCAGCAGUGAGGAAUAUUGGUCAAUGGCCGGGAGGCUGAACCAGCCAAGUCGCGUGAGGGAAGACGGCCCUACGGGUUGUAAACCUCUUUUGUCAGGGAGCAAGGUGCAGGUCGGGACCUGCUGUGAGCGUACCUGAAGAAAAAGCAUCGGCUAACUCCGUACCAGCCGCCGCGGUAAUACGGAGGAUGCGAGCUGUAUCCGGAUUUAUUGGGUUUAAAGGGUGCGCAGGCGGAGGCACAAGUCAGCGGGAAAAUCGCGGGGCGCAACCCCGCUCCGGCGGUGAAACUGUGUCCCUUGAGUGCGCGAAGGGUAGGCGGAAUGCGUGGUGUAGCGGUGAAAUGCAUAGAUAUGACGCAGAACUCCGAUCGCGAAGGCAGCCUACCGGCGCGCAACUGACGCUCAUGCACGAAAGCGUGGGUAUCGAACAGGAUUAGAUACCCCGGUAGUC
Molecule: ribosomal RNA, 459 nt
Filed under: uncultured bacterium
Lineage: Bacteria
Description: partial 16S ribosomal RNA
Rfam family: Bacterial small subunit ribosomal RNA
Source: RNAcentral